This 399-nucleotide ribosomal RNA is filed under the name uncultured haloarchaeon. RNAcentral describes it as "bacterial SSU rRNA". It matches the Rfam family "Archaeal small subunit ribosomal RNA", at positions 431 to 828 of the family's 1478-position model. Lineage: Archaea; Methanobacteriati; Methanobacteriota; Halobacteria; Halobacteriales; Halobacteriaceae. The record is from RNAcentral.
CACGAUAAGGGCUGGGCAAGACCGGUGCCAGCCGCCGCGGUAAUACAGCAGCCCGAGUGAUGCCCGAUCUUAUUGGGCCUAAAGCGUCCGUAGCUGGCCUCGCAAGUCCGUCGGGAAAUCCACUCGCUCAACGAGUGGGCGUCCGGCGGAAACUGCGCGGCUUGGGACCGGAAGACUUGAGGGGUACGUCCGGGGUAGGAGUGAAAUCCCGUAAUCCUGGACGGACCACCGAUGGCGAAAGCACCUCGAGAAAACGGAUCCGACAGUGAGGGACGAAAGCUAGGGUCUCGAACCGGAUUAGAUACCCGGGUAGUCCUAGCCGUAAACAAUGCUCGCUAGGUGUGGCACAGACUACCAGCGCCGCGUGCCGUAGGAAGCCGAGAAGCGAGCCGCUAGAAG